GUAGGUGGCGAGCGUUAUCCGGAAUUAUUGGGCGUAAAGAGGGAGCAGGCGGCACUAAGGGUCUGUGGUGAAAGAUCGAAGCUUAACUUCGGUAAGCCAUGGAAACCGUAGAGCUAGAGUGUGUGAGAGGAUCGUGGAAUUCCUAGUGUAGCGGUGAAAUGCGUAGAUAUUAGGAGGAACACCAGUGGCGAAGGCGGAUUGCUGGACAGCAACUGACGGUGAGGCGCGAAAGUGUGGGGAGCAAACAGGAUUAGAUACCCUGGUAGUCCACACUGUAAACGAUGAAUACUAGGUGUGCGGGGACUGACCCCCUGCGUGCCGCAGUUAACACAAUAAGUAUUCCACCUGGGGAGU
This 354-nucleotide ribosomal RNA is filed under the name uncultured bacterium. RNAcentral's name for it is "bacterial SSU rRNA". It matches the Rfam family "Bacterial small subunit ribosomal RNA", at positions 527 to 881 of the family's 1533-position model. The record is from RNAcentral.